RNAcentral lists this ribosomal RNA (252 nucleotides) under uncultured bacterium. Its description in RNAcentral is "partial 16S ribosomal RNA". It matches the Rfam family "Bacterial small subunit ribosomal RNA", at positions 57 to 305 of the family's 1533-position model. The record is from RNAcentral.
GCAAGUCGAACGGCAGCAUGACUUAGCUUGCUAAGUUGAUGGCGAGUGGCGAACGGGUGAGUAACGCGUAGGAAUCUGCCCUUAAGUGGGGGACAACCCGAGGAAACUCGGGCUAAUACCGCAUAAUCUUUAAGAAGCAAAGCUGGGGACCUUCGGGCCUGGCGCUUGAGGAUGAGCCUGCGUCCGAUUAGCUAGUUGGUAAGGUAAAGGCUUACCAAGGCGACGAUCGGUAGCUGGUCUGAGAGGAUGAUC